Molecule: ribosomal RNA, 253 nt
Filed under: uncultured bacterium
Lineage: Bacteria
Description: partial 16S ribosomal RNA
Rfam family: Bacterial small subunit ribosomal RNA
Source: RNAcentral
UACGUAGGUGGCGAGCGUUGUCCGGAUUUACUGGGUGUAAAGGGAGCGCAGGCGGCACGGCAAGCCUGAUGUGAAAGCCCGCGGCCCAACCGCGGGACUGCAUUGGGAACUACCGGGCUGGAGUGCCGGAGAGGUAGGCGGAAUCCCUAGUGUAGCGGUGAAAUGCGUAGAGAUUAGGAAGAACACCAGUGGCGAAGGCGAUUCUCUGGACUGUAACUGACGCUGAGGCUCGAAAGCGUGGGGAGCAAACAGG